Molecule: unclassified non-coding RNA, 350 nt
Filed under: soil metagenome
Description: partial contains 5.8S ribosomal RNA, internal transcribed spacer 2, and large subunit ribosomal RNA
Rfam family: 5.8S ribosomal RNA (bases 1-120)
Source: RNAcentral
GAUGAAGAACGUAGCGAAAUGCGAUAAGUAAUGUGAAUUGCAGAAUUCAGUGAAUCAUCGAAUCUUUGAACGCACAUUGCGCCCGCCAGUAUUCUGGCGGGCAUGCCUGUCCGAGCGUCAUUUCAACCCUCGAACCCCUCCGGGGGGUCGGCGUUGGGGAUCGGCCCUUUACGGGGCCGGCCCCGAAAUACAGUGGCGGUCUCGCCGCAGCCUCUCCUGCGCAGUAGUUUGCACACUCGCAUCGGGAGCGCGGCGCGUCAACAGCCGUUAAACACCCCAAACUUCUGAAAUGUUGACCUCGGAUCAGGUAGGAAUACCCGCUGAACUUAAGCAUAUCAAUAAGCGGAGGA